Egretta garzetta (little egret) is the source of this 3981-nucleotide RNA transcript. It is a transcript of the gene named F-box protein 25, with no coding region annotated. The record is from RefSeq and is a predicted model, not a curated record. Lineage: Eukaryota; Metazoa; Chordata; Aves; Pelecaniformes; Ardeidae. The transcript is spliced from 12 exons.
GAGGUGUCUGGAGCCUGCCUGGAGGGGUGGGCGUUGGGAUAUCAGUAGGCUGCGUGAGUAUGGGAGAACUGGGAGAAGCAAGGGCUGGGGCAGCAGCAGGCUGGAGGGAAGAAGCCUAGAGUAGGCAGUUCAGUUGGGGAGGAGGAGUAGUAUUGAUGCCUGUUGGGAACUGCGUGGCCUGGAUUCACUGAAGUUGUUGUAUGGGGAAAGAACAAUCAGAAUGGGAGCAGGCGAGAGAAAAGCUGAGGAGUUGAUGAAUCAUGGUCUUGAGGAAGUUUUGGGACUUGAUUUGAGACAGUCAUUUGAUAUGAAAAAAAACAUGGGGCGGGGUGAAGUAUGUAAGCAGACCAACCUCUGAGUCAUGGAGGUUGACUGGCUAGCUCCUAGAAGGUGGCAGUCUAGAAGUUAUCUGCCUGUAGUGAGAGUGUAAAGGAGCAGUUUCUGUUGAAAGUCGAGCUGCUGAAGAGAUUUUGUUAGCAUGCUAAAGAGAUGGGUGUGCUGUUGGGUUGUUAGGAAACAGGAGAACCUUGACUGUUCCCAUCGUGUUGGCAACAGCCUUGCUACUGAAUGGUUUGGGUCAUAAUGAUGUGUUCUUAAGCAUAGGAAGACAAGGAUGGAAGAGGUCUCCAGUACAGUGGCAGAGUAAUAGGAUGAUUUGCUGCAACUCUGAAUGGCUUUGCAGUGAUUUUUGCUCAUGUGGAUGCUUUACAGAGAACUUUCUUCCCUCAAGAGAAACCAUGCCAUUUUUGGGCCAAGACUGGAGAUCCCCUGGAUGGAGAUGGGUUAAAACAGAAGAUGGAUGGAAACAAUGUGAAUCCUUCAGUCCUGCAAUUGAGGAUGGGAAUAGUCAGCUGAAUGAUAUCAGUCACACUGUCAUCUUAACUGGUGAUGAUGAAGAUGAAGAGAUAUACAGUACUGAAGAUUGUGAGUUGGCAGCCAAGAAACGGAAAAAAGAUCAUUUUAGGAAUAACACAGAUUCACAAUGUUUUUAUCGUGAAAAGUGGAUUUAUGUUCAUAAAGAAAGCACCAGGGAAAGACAUGGCUAUUGCACUUUGGGAGAAGCUUUUAAUCGCUUAGACUUUUCAAGUGCAAUUCAGGACAUCAGAAGGUUCAAUUAUGUGGUCAAACUUUUGCAGUUAAUUGCAAAAUCCCAAUUAACUUCACUGAGUGGUGCAGCACAGAAGAACUACUUCAACAUUUUGGACAAAAUUGUGCGAAAGGUCAUGGAAGACCAAUAUAAUCCACGAUUAAUCAAAGAUCUUCUACAGGAUUUGAGUUCUACUCUCUGUAUACUGAUCAGGGGAGUAGGAAAAUCUGUGUUGGUAGGGAACAUCAAUAUUUGGAUUUGCCGAUUAGAAACUAUCCUUCUGUGGCAACAACAACUAAAAAACCUUCAGAUGAACAAGCAAGUCAACAAUGGUCUUACGCUUAGCGAUCUCCCUCUCCAUAUGCUGAAUAACAUCUUAUACAGGUUCUCUGAUGGCUGGGACAUUAUUACUCUGGGUCAAGUGACCCCAACUUUGUACAUGCUUAGUGAAGACAGACAGCUGUGGAAAAAACUCUGCCAGUACCAUUUCGCGGAAAAGCAGUUUUGUAGGCAUUUGAUUCCGUCAGAGAAGGGUCACAUUGACUGGAAGCUGAUGUACUUCGCACUUCAGAAAUAUUACCCAAUAAAGGAACAGUAUGGGGACACCUUGCAUUUCUGUCGACACUGUAGUAUUCUGUUUUGGAAGGAUACAGGACACCCCUGCACAGCCAGUGAUCCAAACACCUGUCUCAUGCCAGUAUCUCCUCAGCAUUUCAUCGAUCUCUUCAAAUUUUGAGAUGUUCAGUAGCUGUUCUCCUGUGUUUGUGGCCAUUUUUGUGAAGAGUCAGGCAGGAUACUUUUUGCUUUUUGUGCAAUAUAUUUAAGUGUAAUGUUUUGUUGUAGUUAAAAAAAAAAGAUAUGGGGGAGAUUAUUAGACAGGCUUAUUCGGUGUAUUGUUUUUGUGCAGAAGAGAGCUGAGGAGAAGGAGAACAAUAAGAAAAUUUCUUUGUCAGGAAAUCUGCAGUGGAUUUCUCAACUCCAAGAAAGACCGUUUUAAUCUCAACUUUACAUCCAUUCUUUUGACGCCUUAAUAGUUGGUUGAAAUUAUGUGGGGGAGUUUUGAAAAUUUCAUGGAAGAGUUAAACUACUCUUACAGGCACCAAAGGAGGGUUUUUUGUUAAUCCCUCUUUCUUUAAGCCACUGUUUUCAAAACACCUCCAUAUAAUUUGCACUGUUACAAACAACAGGCCAAUAUUCUCUUGGACUCUUAAUAUAUCAGUUACCAAGGUGGCAUUAAUCAUUGUGAGCUAGUGAAUAAAAUGUAGCUGUGGUUAUAUCUGUUGUUGAACCUAUGAAUGAAGGAAAUCAACCAGUCCUUGUACAUACAUUAUGCAAAAGUAUUUAUUUUUCUUAAGGACUUUAUUAAACAUAUAACCUAUCUCAGCACAUCCUGCAUAACUCAAGAGACAGAUCUGGGACUAUGGGAAAGUGAUUUUUUUUUUUUUUUUUUUAAAUGGUAGCUACAGCCUUCAUUUAUACUGUUUGAUAUGUCUACAAAUGCAACUGCAUUCAUUCAUCUUCUAAGAAGAAGACGUUACUGAAGUUUAAUGAGAAUGGAGUUGCUUGUUUCUAGACUGGUACGGUGGCAAGACAUUGUACUACCAGCUGAGGUUCUAACCUGACAAGUCUUUACAAGCUAUGGAAAACACUGAAAGUCAGUCUGAGCUGAAGCACCUUCUGCCGAGUUAAUCAGAUGAUAAAUUCUCCAGGAAGCUAUUUUAUUCUGUCCUGUGGAACAAAAUUAAUUGCUUGGCCUAGGCAGUUAAGGUGUCUGCUGUGGCUAUGGUAAUGAUCAGGUGUGGAGCCGAUGACAUCCAUUCUUACUCCUCUUCAUUCAGAACAUUGCUGCAAGCCUCACUUUCCCAGCCCAACCACUGCUCUAGCCACUGGAUUUAAGGAACCAGCAGCUCUUCUUUAACAAGGGCUUGCACCCCUUUUAUUUAACUAACAAAAUGGUUACGGACUUGCUUUCAUGUCUACGUGACCCUGCAUGACCUGGGUAGCCUUGACAGUGGCUGGUGGUGGCUGGCAUCCAUUGAUCACUCCUUUAACAGUUACAGUUUUGCUGCCCUUCGUGAAACUUCCUGUAAAUAUCUAUAUGGAUGCCACCUGCUCUUUGAGAGCUUUAAAGAAAGGUUCUGAAGCCAGCAUUUGGUUUAAUAUGGGGCUGAGCUCUUCACCUGUCAUGCUGACUGAAGGUCUCCCAUCAGGGAGUGCAAGGAACCAUCCCUCCUGCAGACAGAAUGCAAGCUUUCAAGGGGCACACCAUUACCUAAGAAGCUGCCCAUUACUGAAGGUGCAAAUAAUGUUGAGAAUUGGAGAAAGGUAUUAAGAGAUCCAAGAGGGACCUCUCCUAGCCUCUAAACUGAGGAGAGAGAGAGGUGACUUACAAAAGGCUUGUAAAAAGUUAAAGGUUUGGAAGAAUCAGUAUCCAUAAUAACUAAUUUUCAUAUCUCUUACAAAUGUCCUUUCCCUUUCACCAUUUGCUGUCUUGCUUGCUCUUCUGUAGCAAACAGCCUCUGCCCAGCUGAAGGAUGGGUUCCGAGAUGUUGUCCGGUGUAGGCCACAAGCAUGCCUUCCCCUGGCAGUAGCCAAGAUGACAAGAAGCAGGACUCCAGCUGGUAGCCCUGUGGGCUUCACUCUAUAAUCACAGAAGGGUUGAGGGUGGAAGAGACCUCUGCAGGGAACCCCCUGCUCGAGCAGGGCCAUCCAGACCCAGUUGCCCAGGACCAUGUCCACAUGGGUUUUGAGUAUCUCCAAGGAAGGAGACUCUACAGCCUCCCUAGGCAACCUGUAUCAGUGCUUGCUCACCCUCGCAGUAACAAAGUGUUUCCUGGUGCUCAGAGGGAACCUCCUGUGUUUUGGUUUGUGCCCAUUGCCUUCUGGUCCUGUCA